This 29-nucleotide non-coding RNA is filed under the name Mus musculus (house mouse). The record is from RNAcentral. RNAcentral also lists the same sequence under 1 other name. Lineage: Eukaryota; Metazoa; Chordata; Mammalia; Rodentia; Muridae.
UUCUGGUGUGUCUGAAGACAGCGACAGUG